RNAcentral lists this transfer RNA (63 nucleotides) under Terrisswalkerius nashi. RNAcentral describes it as "tRNA-Asp". The record is from RNAcentral. Lineage: Eukaryota; Metazoa; Annelida; Clitellata; Crassiclitellata; Megascolecidae.
AAAUACUAGUUAAAAUAUAACAAUGCCUUGUCAAGGUAUAAUUACCUUUAUAGUGUAUCUCAU